This 656-nucleotide long non-coding RNA is filed under the name Zea mays. Its description in RNAcentral is "long non-coding RNA NONZMAT002999". Lineage: Eukaryota; Viridiplantae; Streptophyta; Magnoliopsida; Poales; Poaceae. The record is from RNAcentral.
AACAUGUGCAACAAUUCAAAUAAUAUUUGAGCUCAGCAUGAUGCAAUAUUUCAUAACUCAUAUUGUUUUGACAAAAAUAACUAAUAAAUCUCUCACUAAUUAAGCUAAAUCUACUUAAAAAGAGAGAAAGGAACUAGAGAGAAGCAAGAAUAACACCUGAAUUUAGUAGAUAUUUAGAAAGAAAUUUUAUAUCACAAAUUCACAGGCCAGGACUGAAGCAGAGAGGCGCUCGGCGAGGGAGAUCCGGAGAUGCGGGCAUGGAGAGGAGGUACGGCGAGCUCGCAGCGGCAGUCGGCUAGAGCACAACGUCCCAGCGAGCACAACCAGGGCAGGGAGGUGAGCGAGAGCGUAGGGCGCCGGAGUCCGGCGACCUGAGACCGAGGCACAAGGUACGGUUGUCGAACCUAGGCACGGCAAGACCGGCUGGCGUGACGAGGUCAGCGCGAUGAGGGAGGAGAACGAGCGAUACACAACGACGUCGAGGUGCACGAACCAGAGGAAUCGCUUGAGGAGAGGCACACGAGCAUGGAGAGCGCGCGUCCAGAAAACGAUGGCCGGCCGGCCGGCUGAAGAGUCAGAGCAGGAAUUAAGAAAUGGGGUGAACGGUGGAAGCUAAAAAAAUCCUAGGAGGAUAAGGCAUCGAAAAAAGAUCAGAG